UACGGGGGGGGCAAGCGUUGUUCGGAAUUACUGGGCGUAAAGGGCUCGUAGGCGGCCAACUAAGUCAGACGUGAAAUCCCCAGGCUCAACUUGGGAACUGCGUCUGAUACUGGAUGGCUUGAAUCCGGGAGAGGGAUGCAGAAUUCCAGGUGUAGCGGUGAAAUGCGUAGAUAUCUGGAGGAAUACCGGUGGCGAAGGCGGCAUCCUGGACCGGCAUUGACGCUGAUGAGCGAAAGCCAGGGGAGCAAACGGG
Molecule: ribosomal RNA, 253 nt
Filed under: uncultured bacterium
Lineage: Bacteria
Description: partial 16S ribosomal RNA
Rfam family: Bacterial small subunit ribosomal RNA
Source: RNAcentral